GACGAACGCUGGCGGCGUGCUUAACACAUGCAAGUCGAGCGGUAAGGCCCUUCGGGGUACACGAGCGGCGAACGGGUGAGUAACACGUGAGCAAUCUGCCCUCCACAUCGGGAUACCCCCCGGAAACGGGAGCUAAUACCGGAUACGACCACUUCAGGCAUCUGAUGGUGGUGGAAAGUUCCGGCGGUGGAGGAUGAGCUCGCGGCCUAUCAGCUUGUUGGUGGGGUAAUGGCCCACCAAGGCUUCGACGGGUAGCCGGCCUGAGAGGGUGACCGGCCACACUGGGACUGAGACACGGCCCAGACUCCUACGGGAGGCAGCAGUGGGGAAUAUUGGACAAUGGGCGAAAGCCUGAUCCAGCAACGCCGCGUGAGGGAUGACGGCCUUCGGGUUGUAAAGCUCUUUCAGCUGGGAAGAUAAUGACGGUACCAGCAGAAGAAGCCCCGGCUAACUCCGUGC
This 459-nucleotide ribosomal RNA is filed under the name uncultured bacterium. Its description in RNAcentral is "bacterial SSU rRNA". It matches the Rfam family "Bacterial small subunit ribosomal RNA", at positions 28 to 508 of the family's 1533-position model. The record is from RNAcentral.